UACGGAGGGUGCAAGCGUUAUCCGGAUUCACUGGGUUUAAAGGGUGCGUAGGCGGGUUGGUAAGUCCGUGGUGAAAUCUCCGAGCUUAACUCGGAAACUGCCGUGGAUACUAUCAAUCUUGAAUAUCGUGGAGGUAAGCGGAAUAUGUCAUGUAGCGGUGAAAUGCUUAGAUAUGACAUAGAACACCAAUUGCGUAGGCAGCUUACUACACGAUCAUUGACGCUGAGGCACGAAAGCGUGGGGAGCAAACAGG
This 253-nucleotide ribosomal RNA is filed under the name uncultured bacterium. RNAcentral describes it as "partial 16S ribosomal RNA". It matches the Rfam family "Bacterial small subunit ribosomal RNA", at positions 524 to 776 of the family's 1533-position model. RNAcentral also lists the same sequence under 2 other names. The record is from RNAcentral.